Molecule: long non-coding RNA, 429 nt
Filed under: Ananas comosus (pineapple)
Lineage: Eukaryota; Viridiplantae; Streptophyta; Magnoliopsida; Poales; Bromeliaceae
Description: long non-coding RNA (ACOM_LNC030542)
Source: RNAcentral
UUAUUAACACUAGGUUAGAUGCCACUCGAUCUACUUGAUAUCCUAUUUAUCAUAUCGAGUCCAUAUGCACAUGCAUCUUAUCUAACAUGCUCACAUAAUGGUACGUGCACCUAGCAUACAUUCCAAUGCACACAUACAUAUCAUUUGCAUUAUCACUAGCAUAUAUUCUAUAUCAUAUCAUUUUACAUGGAUCUACUUAGCAUUUGCAUCAUAUUAUUAACAUGCAUUAGCUACAUGAAUCAACCACAUGCUAUUUUACAUUUAUGUGCAUCAUCAUGAAUUCUUAAUCAUCUUAGACAUAAAGGGCGACCAAGUCGCUUCGGUAAACACAACCCACCUUAAUUCGCGUUCCGAUUGUUUGUCGACACUUGCAAUCGGCCUCCCGCGGCACUCGGCACCCGUUUGGGCCCGAUCUCACAAUUGCUCUCC